AGGGUUUGAUCAUGGCUCAGAACGUACGCUGGCGGCACGCCUAACACAUGCAAGUCGAACGCAGUAGCAAUACUGAGUGGCAGACGGGUGAGUAUAAUGUGGGAAUCUGCCUUUUGGUUUGGAAUAACACGGGGAAACUUGUGCUAAUACCGAAUAAGCCCUUACGGGGAAAGUUUUAACGCCGAAAGAUGAGCCUGCACUUGAUUAGCUAGUUGGUAAGGUAAAAGCUUACCAAGGCAACGAUCAAUAGCUGUUCUUAGAGGAAGACCAGCCACAUUGGGACUGAGACACGGCCCAGACUCCUACGGGAGGCAGCAGUGGGGAAUCUUGCACAAUGGGGGAAACCCUGAUGCAGCGAUGCCGCGUGAGUGAAGAAGGCCUUUGGGUUGUAAAACUCUUUCGUCGGGGAAGAAAAUGACUGUACCCGAAUAAGAAGGUCCGGCUAACUUCGUGCCAGCAGCCGCGGUAAUAC
This 472-nucleotide ribosomal RNA is filed under the name uncultured bacterium. RNAcentral's name for it is "bacterial SSU rRNA". It matches the Rfam family "Bacterial small subunit ribosomal RNA", at positions 8 to 526 of the family's 1533-position model. The record is from RNAcentral.